Molecule: long non-coding RNA, 428 nt
Organism: Xiphophorus couchianus (Monterrey platyfish)
Lineage: Eukaryota; Metazoa; Chordata; Actinopteri; Cyprinodontiformes; Poeciliidae
Exons: 2
Source: RefSeq, a predicted model, not a curated record
ACUAAGCACAUUUCAGCAGAAGUUACUGCGCAUAAGUGCUGCUGUGAUACGAAAUAAAUCUGUUUAUCUUGAACUGGAUAAUGUACAUGCUGUUCUGAGAUUUCUCCGGUUGUUUUUUUUUUUUUUUUUGGACGACCGAUACCUGAACGAGCCAGUGGUUCCAGAACCAGGAGGGUUCCGCCGCCAUCUUUGUGACUCGGACUGAAGCCUGGACAGACGGAGGUUCUGGUGCUGGAUGUUUUGCGUGGACAACAGAUAAGCUUAUUGAACAAAAAGGGGGCCCCAAAACUAUUUUUUUUAUUCCACAAACUAUUUGUUCAUGAACAUUUUCAUGUGCAACUUAAGUGCACAUUGACUGAACUGUUAUAUUGAAGGACUAACUGGAAUAUGCAAUUUCUUUUGUUGAAAUAAGCUUUAAAGCUACUGUU